UGGGGAAUAUUGCACAAUGGGCGAAAGCCUGAUGCAGCGACGCCGCGUGAGGGAUGACGGCCUUCGGGUUGUAAACCUCUUUCAGUAGGGACGAAGCGCAAGUGACGGUACCUGCAGAAGAAGCACCGGCUAACUACGUGCCAGCAGCCGCGGUAAUACGUAGGGUUCGAGCGUUGUCCGGAAUUACUGGGCGUAAAGAGCUCGUAGGCGGUUUGUCACGUCGUCUGUGAAAUCCUAGGGCUUAACCCUGGACGUGCAGGCGAUACGGGCUGACUUGAGUACUACAGGGGAGACUGGAAUUUCUGGUGUAGCGGUGGAAUGCACAGAUAUCAGGAAGAACACCGAUGGCGAAGGCAGGUCUCUGGGUAGUAACUGACGCUGAGGAGCGAAAGCAUGGGUAGCGAACAGG
RNAcentral lists this ribosomal RNA (409 nucleotides) under bacterium. RNAcentral's name for it is "partial 16S ribosomal RNA". It matches the Rfam family "Bacterial small subunit ribosomal RNA", at positions 355 to 776 of the family's 1533-position model. The record is from RNAcentral.